Molecule: transfer RNA, 81 nt
Organism: Ipomoea nil (Japanese morning glory)
Lineage: Eukaryota; Viridiplantae; Streptophyta; Magnoliopsida; Solanales; Convolvulaceae
Rfam family: tRNA
About the family: Transfer RNA (tRNA) molecules are approximately 80 nucleotides in length. Their secondary structure includes four short double-helical elements and three loops (D, anti-codon, and T loops). Further hydrogen bonds mediate the characteristic L-shaped molecular structure. tRNAs have two regions of fundamental functional importance: the anti-codon, which is responsible for specific mRNA codon recognition, and the 3' end, to which the tRNAs corresponding amino acid is attached (by aminoacyl-tRNA synthetases). tRNAs cope with the degeneracy of the genetic code in two manners: having more than one tRNA (with a specific anti-codon) for a particular amino acid; and 'wobble' base-pairing, i.e. permitting non-standard base-pairing at the 3rd anti-codon position.
Source: Rfam
UUCUAGAUGGCCGAGUUAGUCUAAGGUGCCAAUUUCAGGUACUGGUCCGAAAGGGCAUGGGUUCAACUCCCAUUCUUGAAA